This 1461-nucleotide ribosomal RNA is filed under the name uncultured cyanobacterium. RNAcentral describes it as "bacterial SSU rRNA". It matches the Rfam family "Bacterial small subunit ribosomal RNA". Lineage: Bacteria; Bacillati; Cyanobacteriota. The record is from RNAcentral.
GGAUGAACGCUGGCGGUCUGCUUAACACAUGCAAGUCGAACGGGCUCUUCGGAGCUAGUGGCGGACGGGUGAGUAACGCGUGAGGAUCUGCCCUUAGGACGGGGACAACAGUUGGAAACGACUGCUAAUACCCGAUGUGCCGAGAGGUGAAACUAUUUGGCCUGAGGAUGAGCUCGCGUCUGAUUAGCUAGUUGGAGUGGUAACGGCACACCAAGGCGACGAUCAGUAGCUGGUCUGAGAGGAUGAUCAGCCACACUGGGACUGAGACACGGCCCAGACUCCUACGGGAGGCAGCAGUGGGGAAUUUUCCGCAAUGGGCGAAAGCCUGACGGAGCAAGACCGCGUGCGGGAGGAAGGUCUAUUGACUGUAAACCGCUUUUGAUAGGGAAGAAGAACUGACGGUACCUAACGAAUCAGCAUCGGCUAACUCCGUGCCAGCAGCCGCGGUAAUACGGGGGAUGCAAGCGUUAUCCGGAAUUAUUGGGCGUAAAGCGUCCGCAGGUGGUUUAUCAAGUCUGCUGUCAAAGCGUGGGGCUUAACCCCAUACAGGCAGUGGAAACUGAGAGACUAGAGUACGGUAGGGGUAGCGGGAAUUCCCAGUGUAGCGGUGAAAUGCGUAGAUAUUGGGAAGAACACCAGCGGCGAAGGCGCGCUACUGGGCCGAAACUGACACUCAUGGACGAAAGCUAGGGGAGCGAAAGGGAUUAGAUACCCCUGUAGUCCUAGCUGUAAACGAUGACAAUUAGGUGUUGCACGUAUCGACCCGUGCAGUUCCGUAGCUAACGCGUUAAGUUGNCCGCCUGGGGAGUACGCACGCAAGUGUGAAACUCAAAGGAAUUGUCGGGGACCCGCACAAGCGGUGGAGUAUGUGGUUUAAUUCGAUGCAACGCGAAGAACCUUACCAGGGCUUGACAUGUCGCGAAUCCUUGCGAAAGUAGGGAGUGCCUUCGGGAGCUCGAACACAGGUGGUGCAUGGCUGUCGUCAGCUCGUGUCGUAAGAUGUUGGGUUAAGUCCCGCAACGAGCGCAACCCUCGUUUCUAGUUGCCAUCAUUAAGUUGGGCACUYUAGAGAGACUGCCGGUGACAAACCGGAGGAAGGUGUGGAUGACGUCAAGUCAGCAUGCCCCUUACAUCCUGGGCUACACACGUACUACAAUGCUACGGACAGAGGGUUGCGAGCAUGCGAAUGCAAGCUAAUCCCGUAAACCGUGGCUCAGUUCAGAUUGCAGGCUGCAACUCGCCUGCAUGAAGGCGGAAUCGCUAGUAAUCGCAGGUCAGCAUACUGCGGUGAAUACGUUCCCGGGCCUUGUACACACCGCCCGUCACACCAUGGGAGUUGGCCACGACCGAAGUCGUUACUCCAACCGUUCGCGGAGGAGGACGCCGAAGGCAGGGCUGAUGACUGGGGUGAAGUCGUAACAAGGUAGCCGUACCGGAAGGUGUAGCUGGAUCACCUCCUUU